ACGAACGCUGGCGGCAUGCCUAACACAUGCAAGUCGAACGAGACCUUCGGGUCUAGUGGCGCACGGGUGCGUAACGCGUGGGAACCUGCCCUUAGGUUCGGAAUAACUCCCCGAAAGGGGUGCUAAUACCGGAUAAUGUCUUCGGACCAAAGAUUUAUCGCCUUUGGAUGGGCCCGCGUUGGAUUAGCUAGUUGGUAGGGUAAAAGCCUACCAAGGCGACGAUCCAUAGCUGGUCUGAGAGGAUGAUCAGCCACACUGGGACUGAGACACGGCCCAGACUCCUACGGGAGGCAGCAGUGGGGAAUAUUGGACAAUGGGCGAAAGCCUGAUCCAGCAAUGCCGCGUGAGUGAUGAAGGCCUUAGGGUUGUAAAGCUCUUUUACCCGGGAUGAUAAUGACAGGACCGGGAGAAUAAGCUCCGGCUAACUCCGU
This 431-nucleotide ribosomal RNA is filed under the name uncultured bacterium. Its description in RNAcentral is "partial 16S ribosomal RNA". It matches the Rfam family "Bacterial small subunit ribosomal RNA", at positions 29 to 506 of the family's 1533-position model. The record is from RNAcentral.